RNAcentral lists this ribosomal RNA (235 nucleotides) under uncultured Candidatus Saccharibacteria bacterium. Its description in RNAcentral is "partial 16S ribosomal RNA". It matches the Rfam family "Bacterial small subunit ribosomal RNA", at positions 584 to 818 of the family's 1533-position model. The record is from RNAcentral. Lineage: Bacteria; Candidatus Saccharimonadota.
UAAGCAAGUAGUGAAAGCGUGGGGCUCAACCUCAUAUCCAUUAUUUGAACUGCUAAGCUCGAGGGCGAGAGAGGUUACUAGAAUUCCUUGUGUAGGAGUGAAAUCCGUAGAUAUAAGGAGGAAUACCGAUGGCGUAGGCAGGUAACUGGCUCGUCCCUGACACUAAGGCACGAAAGCGUGGGGAGCGACCGGGAUUAGAUACCCCGUUAGUCCACGCCGUAAACGAUGGAUGCUA